AUUGAACGCUGGCGGCAGGCCUAACACAUGCAAGUCGAACGAGUGGCGGACGGGUGAGUAAUGUCUGGGAAACUGCCCGAUGGAGGGGGAUAACUACUGGAAACGGUAGCUAAUACCGCAUACCAUCGGAUGUGCCCAGAUGGGAUUAGCUCGUAGGUGGGUUAACGGCUCACCUAGGCGACGAUCCCUAGCUGGGCUGAGAGGAUGACCAGCCACACUGGAACUGAGACACGGUCAAGGCUCCUACGGGAGGCAGCAGGGGGAAGUAUGUCACAAUGGGCGCAAGCCUGAUGCAGCCAUUCCGCGUGUAUUAAGUAGGCCUUCGGGGUGUAAAGUACUUUCAGCGAGGAGGCGUUACUCGCAGAAGAAGCACCGGCUAACUCCGUGACAGCAGCCGCGGUAAUUC
Molecule: ribosomal RNA, 406 nt
Filed under: uncultured bacterium
Lineage: Bacteria
Description: partial 16S ribosomal RNA
Rfam family: Bacterial small subunit ribosomal RNA
Source: RNAcentral